CUACAGUCAUGGAACUGGAGCUAAUGCUGCACCUGUGGCUAACACACGCCCUGCAGGACAUGGAGCAGAGGAGGGAAUUGCACGUUCAGAUGCAGAGCCAGGAGUUGUUAUUAGUUGUCCAAUAUGCAUGGAUUAUUACUCAGAGAUUGUGCAAAGCGGACGACUGAUGGUGGCAACUAUGUGUGGCCACAUGUUCUGCAGCGCGUGCCUCCCCGUUGCCCUGGAGACCACCGGCAUGUGCCCAACCUGCAGAGAGGAACUCGAUGCAGAAAUGUAUUUUCCAAUUUAUUUAUGAGAGUUUCCGCUGCUCAGGGCAGUCUCAGGUGCAUCUUGGAGAAGAGGAGGUGUAGAGGCCUGUUUCUUUAUGUAUAUAGUUCUUUUUGUACAUAGUUUCAUUUUUGGUGCGUUCAGUUAUAAAUAAAGUUUUGAUUGAUUUAAA
Molecule: non-coding RNA, 439 nt
Organism: Cyanistes caeruleus (blue tit)
Lineage: Eukaryota; Metazoa; Chordata; Aves; Passeriformes; Paridae
Source: RefSeq, a predicted model, not a curated record